This is a long non-coding RNA of Lycium ferocissimum, 1376 nucleotides long. RefSeq lists it as uncharacterized. NCBI's taxonomy places the organism in Eukaryota, Viridiplantae, Streptophyta, Magnoliopsida, Solanales, Solanaceae. The transcript has 2 exons. The record is from RefSeq and is a predicted model, not a curated record.
UAUUGAAAGGGUUUUUGAUCAGUGCACUACCAAGAUUUCAUAACUUAAGAUCCACUACUUUGAACAGUGGAAAUUUUCUGAUCUUAUCUUAUUUUAUCGAAACUCGACAGGUUUAUCUCGCGUCUUUCUCUUAAAUUGUGCUCACUAUGUGUUUGUGUGGGGAGCUACUUCUUCGUAAAUUUGCGGAACUUUUAGUACAAGAUAACCGAUACAUAUGCAUAUGUGAAAACCCCAGUCCUAACCAAUUCUACACCUGUUUAUUUAUAUUUUCUACUCAAGUCUGUCGCUUUUUCCUCUUAAAACACAGAGGUAAGGAUCAAAAGAACUACUUUUUUUUUCUUUGAAAUAAAUGUCUGAUUUCAAAGGUUUCAACAUCAGUCGUCAAAGAGCAACUAUAAUUCUUGGUCUUGACAAUAUGAGAGACUAUGGAAAACACCUCAGAAUUAAUCACCAGAUGCUUAGCUUCUCUUUUAAUUUUUGAGAUCUUAUGCAUUAUAAUUAAAUUGAUUUGAGAGGCAAGAAAAGAAAACUAACUCGUGACAUGUAUUGAAAGCGAUGGGGAACAAGGGGCGUUUUUGAUGUCUUGAUCACUUAAUCUCUUACUCUUUUGUAUAGUUUAAUUCACCCUUCUUUUUCUGGUUUGGUUUGUCUUACAGGAAUUUGUCAAAUGAUUGGUCUUUUAUAGUCACCUCGACUCUUUGAAAUUUCUAACUUGGUUUGUUCCGUUUGUGGGUUUUGUGUUGAUCUCUUUACGAUUUUCCUAUUUCCUCACCGUGCGAACGAGGAAGAAAUUAAAAGAGACAUGGUAAAACCAUGUGCCCGAGCCCUUUGACAGUGAGAAGUUGUCAUUGGACUUAGGUUGCAAAUAUUCAAAGACUUAAGAGAAAGUAUACAAAAUUCUGAACUAAGUACAUUAUUUUUUAUAAUAGGUAACUGGAAAAAGAUGAAGCUUGAUGAGAUUAUUAACUAUGUCUAAUUCCUCCAAAGUCGAGUUGAGUGAUGUUAGCUAAUCUCAAUCUAAGUGCUUCAACAUGGAACGUCUUCUCUUCGAGGAUGCAAGUCAGUCAAACAUAUGCUAUGUUAAUGAUGAGUUUUUGUGUUUUUUUUUUUUUCUUGUAUAAUUGUUCAUGAAUUUUGUGACAAUUUCAGAUGAUUCAAUCCAUUGAAUUGUUGCAUCAUACCAACAGAAGUAGCUGCAGAGUGAAUUUUUAGAGUUAUGAAACUGGUUUAGGGGAAAAUUUAGUUCCGCUAGAUUUGUUGAGAAUAACAAAAGUCGGGUUGUAGUAAAGAAAUCUUAGUCCAUACAUUAUUCCUAUAUCUACUUAAGACAGCCGCUUAGUAUCGCCAUAAUCUUAUAUAAGCUUUCUUUGACUUUC